Molecule: long non-coding RNA, 1824 nt
Organism: Scophthalmus maximus (turbot)
Lineage: Eukaryota; Metazoa; Chordata; Actinopteri; Pleuronectiformes; Scophthalmidae
Exons: 3
Source: RefSeq, a predicted model, not a curated record
CCCCUCUCUCUGGGAAACAAAUGUCUCCAGCUACUUUUUUUUUUUGGUUCGACGCACAGUCCUCAGCCAAUGGCAGAGGAGGGGCGACCGACAACAUCCCCAUCCCACCGCAGAGAAGGACACAUUGAUAUGAAGUAAACGCUUUAUAUGCCGCGGGAUGAAGAGAAGUGGAGUUUAGAGUCAGUUUGCUCAUCUUUUUCUUUAUUUUUUCUUACGCUUUAUAUCAAACAUCGCUGUUCUCCAACGGAAUAAAGGCGGCAGGUUGGGGGAGGAGGGAAACAUGCGCAAAUAAAGAGUUUUCUGAAAAUGUAGUGUAUGUAGGCUACACUAUAUUAGUGGCACACACUUAAAAACAAAAGUCUACCGAGUAUGCUGCGUCUAGAAACACAAACCCGUCUCUUUCUGUUGUUAAAAAUAAGAUUUAUUAUAUAUUAUAUAUUUUUAUAUAAGUCCAGAUUUACUUGAAGAACAUCAAUGCAGCUUCCAAUGAAAUCGAAUAAUUACUUUGCAAGGCAUCUCAACAAGAGGAUGUGUGUGAAGCUUUUACUGCUGCAAAGAAGAGUGAGAAAUUCAAGUAAAAAAAAAAAAAAUAGUGACCAAAAAAAGAAAAAAGAACCCUCCCGGACCAAAGCAGCUCUCUGCUCUGCUCCUCUCACAUUCCAGCGCGUCGCGAAAAAAAAAGAAGUGGGAUUUAGUGCGACUUAUUCCCUUAAAACUGUCCACACGUUCACAGAGCCAGCCAGUCUGCUGCCACCAGCCCGACGCGGGCCUGCACACACACACACACACACACACACACACACACACACACACACACACAAAUCACCCACCACAAUAUGUUUAGGGGAGUUCCCACCGGGAGACACCGAGCAGCCGAGGACCGGACCUGCAGUGCGCACAGGGAGGAGGAGGAAUGCGAGAAAGAAAAAAAAGAAGAAACAAUAUUUCUUGUGCAGGAGGAAGAUGUGAAAGAAGAAAAAAAGUCUUCCAGAUAUGAAGAUGUCGAUCAGAGGAAGCGGCUGUGGAUCGUAACCCUGCAGGAUUUUCUCUCAGCCACCGGCCUGAGAUCCGAUGGAGCAGAAGUUCGACUGCCUGUUUGGAGGAACGGAGCCGCAACGCAUCCAGGAGUUUGCAGACAAACAAACGGAUGCAAUUAAACACACUCGCCUUCAGAUCAUCAAGGAGGACGCAAAGUCAAGACAGGCACAAAGCAGCCAAGGACAAAUGGAAGGCGUGAGAAGACUCUGCUGCCUCAAGGUUAACACUGACUGACUGACUGAACUGUGGGAAGAGCUCCUCUCCUCACACUCUAUGGAACUCUCCUUCCACUCCUGCUUCUUCUGCACAGACACAUCGCCCGCUGUUUUUGUUUUUCAUAGUAAAUCCAUGUUAUAUUUUUAGAGCCGCUGCUGGAAGAAUUAAGCCAAGUUAAUUCACCACCACACGUCUGUUCUCUCUUCUGUCUCUGAAAUGAUUAUUUUUGCAAAGAAAGACAGCUACGCUCACAUCACCACUCCGCUCUCCUUCCCUCGCUCUCGCUCCACCUCGCCAUCGGUAGCCUUCUCCUCUGUGUGCGGAGGUGUCUGCAGCACGGCGUGGUAAAACCUGCCCUGCAGACUGGACCUCUCGAGUCUUCAAAGGAGGAAGAACUCAAUGUGGGGGGAUUUGUUCAGGCUUAUUUGGUAACCUAGGAUUUGAAUUGGAUUCUGGGAGGCAUUCAUAACACAUUUGGAAAUGUUACAUUGUGCGAUUUUGUGUGUAAUCCCCAUAAUAAAUUUUAGAAAUGGUCACAGCACUUGCACAACUGUGACUAUUCAUGAUUUA